Molecule: long non-coding RNA, 584 nt
Organism: Mustela lutreola (European mink)
Lineage: Eukaryota; Metazoa; Chordata; Mammalia; Carnivora; Mustelidae
Exons: 3
Source: RefSeq, a predicted model, not a curated record
GAGGGCCCACCCGCUGCGGCUCGCCUGCCCGUCCCCAGCGCCCGCACAGAGCGCGUCCAGGCCCCGAAGGCGGGUCACCCACACGGUGGCUCUUCGACUUUCCGGGGGAACAGGAUCUUUGCUCAAGCAGCCCUUUGUCCCACCCAGAGUGCCCACAGGGGCCUGGACACUGUCUGCUCCUGCACUUGGGCCCUGUCCUGGAGAGACCCACAUGGCACUCACUGGUCGGUGGGCAGCCCGCUGGUCCAUCUCCCGGGGAGUCCCGGCACCCACCCCCAGCAGCCAGCUGGUUCCUCUAAGGGGCCACCUUCCCCAUGGCCAAGUCCACGGGCCCCAGUGAAGGGGCCGCGUCCGUUCCCCAGGCCUCAGCUGCAGGCCAGAGUCCAGCCAGGGCGGCGAGGGACCCAGGACUCUGGGUGUGAAGCAGGACACCUGGGAAGGUUUGUCCCUGUGGGAAUGGUCUGGAGCUGUUGCAGCCAUCCUGCGACAAAGAAGAGAGUGGAGCCAGAAACCAGCCUGGGAUGCUUGAUCAAGCCAUACCUGAAUCUUAAGCCAUGUGAAUGAAUAAAUGUCCUUGAUGUUAA